RNAcentral lists this ribosomal RNA (253 nucleotides) under uncultured bacterium. RNAcentral describes it as "partial 16S ribosomal RNA". It matches the Rfam family "Bacterial small subunit ribosomal RNA", at positions 524 to 776 of the family's 1533-position model. The record is from RNAcentral.
UACGGAGGGUGCAAGCGUUAUCCGGAUUUACUGGGCGUAAAGGGCGCGUAGGCGGUAGCACAAGUCAGUUGUGAAAUCUCCGGGCUUAACUCGGAAAGGUCAACUGAUACUGUGCGACUAGAGUGCAGAAGGGGCAACUGGAAUUCUCGGUGUAGCGGUGAAAUGCGUAGAUAUCGAGAGGAACACCUGCGGCGAAGGCGGGUUGCUGGGCUGACACUGACGCUGAGGCGCGAAAGCCAGGGGAGCGAACGGG